RNAcentral lists this transfer RNA (68 nucleotides) under Marmota monax (woodchuck). Its description in RNAcentral is "tRNA.Ala". The record is from RNAcentral. Lineage: Eukaryota; Metazoa; Chordata; Mammalia; Rodentia; Sciuridae.
GGAUUGUGGCUCAGUGGUAGAGAUCUCACCUAGCACAUUUGAGGCCCUGGGUUCAAUCCUCAGCGCCA